GGACGCGUAGCUCAGUUGGAAGAGCACCAGUCAUGAACCUCUGGAGGUCCUAGGUUCAAUCCCUGGCGUGACCA
Mycena alexandri is the source of this 74-nucleotide non-coding RNA. The record is from the annotation of a GenBank genome assembly. NCBI's taxonomy places the organism in Eukaryota, Fungi, Basidiomycota, Agaricomycetes, Agaricales, Mycenaceae.